Molecule: long non-coding RNA, 871 nt
Organism: Peromyscus maniculatus bairdii (prairie deer mouse)
Lineage: Eukaryota; Metazoa; Chordata; Mammalia; Rodentia; Cricetidae
Source: RefSeq, a predicted model, not a curated record
UCUCUCUGUCUCUCCCAUUAACACUAACCAAUACAAGCAGAGCACUAAACACCACAUAUGGUCACUAAUUUUCUCAUGGCUGCUUCUUAAUAUGUUCAAAUUUUUCCCAAGCUCCAGAAACCAUCUUAAGUCCAUCUGGACAGGUCGGACCUACUUUAGGCUUUUCCCGUUUCACCAGCAUCCUGUCAGAUACCAAAGCUGCCAGAGUGCAGGAGGGAUGCACGGCUCUAGAGCAACAGACAACAGAGAACACACCAUCCCAAGAUGCCUCUCUACCUCAGAAACUCCCUUCCCUACUCCCCCCAAGAGCCAACCGACGCCCUUCAAGUCAGUUGGAAGCAGUUUUUGGGAGAAAUGACUCCCCAUACCCACUCAUCUGCCAUCUUUUAUAAAAGAUAAGAGUCCGGGAUGAUAGGAAUUCCAACCAUGCCCCACGGUCAUGCGUGCAUAGUGGAACACUUUCUCAUCUCCGCUUAGUCACUUCCGGGUCAUAGUCCUGCAUGACCCGUGCCCCAUGGUUACACAGUCACGUAGUCUCACAGCCGUGACUGGGUGAUCUCUGCACAUGGGCCUGUGUGUGCAGAUGUGUCCUGGCCUUUAUAAGAUGGAAGUUUCCCAUGACCCUGCCAAUCCUGGAGUCCUCUCACUCUGAGUGCAAAUUUCCUCCAGUCCUUCAAAGUGUCCGGAAUUGCUGUUCUUCAAGCCUUGUUGGGUAGCCAUUCCAGCUUGGAUCUGGAAGUUCCAACCCCCAUUGAGACUCUGGCAACUCUCACAACUAUGAGGCAGGGCCAGGGGAGGCACAUGGAGACCGGAGAUCUGGAUGGGUGAGCGCUCUCUUGGUUCCGGGAGGUGGACUUAGCAGAGCUCCAGA